GACGAACGCUGGCGGUGUGCUUAAUACAUGCAAGUCGAACGAUAAGGCCCCUUCGGGGGUACAUAAGUGGCGGACGGGUGAGUAACACGUAGGCAACCUGCCUUGAGGCGGGGGAUAACACUGGGAAACUGGUGCUAAUACCCCAUAUGUGACAAGUUGAGAUACUUGUUAUGAAAGCUCCGGCGCCUUAAGAUGGGCCUGCGGCUGAUUAGCUUGUUGGUGAGGUAAUGGCUUACCAAGGCAACGAUCAGUAGCUGGUCUGAGAGGAUGAUCAGCCACAAUGGAACUGAGAAACGGUCCAUACUCCUACGGGAGGCAG
This 319-nucleotide ribosomal RNA is filed under the name uncultured cyanobacterium. Its description in RNAcentral is "bacterial SSU rRNA". It matches the Rfam family "Bacterial small subunit ribosomal RNA", at positions 28 to 351 of the family's 1533-position model. The record is from RNAcentral. Lineage: Bacteria; Bacillati; Cyanobacteriota.